CUCGAGCCGGACCCGCGGGAGGUGCGGGGCUCCAGCAGCGGUAGCAGCACCGCAGGUGUGCGGGGCUCCGGCCCGGAAAGCAGGACUGCGGGCCUCCGGCUGGGAGAGCGGGACGGCGGGGUUGUGAGCCUCUGGCCUUGAGAGCGGGGCUUCGGGGCUCCGCCUGGGUGGCUGGGCGUCGGGAGUUGCCGCGCUCCAGCCGGGGUCCCUGGGCUCCGGCUGGGUUGGAGGGACUGCGGGGUUGCAGGGCUCCACUCAGGGUAGCGGUGCUGCGGUGUUGCAGGGCUCCAGCCGGGAUAGAGGGGCCGCGGGGUCCCUGGGCUCCGGGAGAGGGAGCAGGACGGUGGGGUUGCAGAGUUCCGGCCAGGGGAGUGGUACCGCGGGGUGACGGAGCUGUGGCCAAAAGAGCGGGGUGGCAGGGCUCUGGCCGGGGUGGCAGGGCAGCGGGAGUUGCAAUGCUCGGCCGUGGGAGCGCAGCCAUGGGUUUGCGGGGCUCCAGCCUCGAGAGCUGGGCUGCGGGUUUCAGGUGAGGAGAGCGGGGCUGCCGGGCUCCGGCCUCGGUAGCAGGGCCACGGGACUUGCCACGCUCUGCUGGGGAAGCGAGACUGUGGGGUUGCGGGGCUCCAGCUGGGGGAGCGGUGUUGCGGGGCUCCGGCUGGGGGAGGAGAGCCAUGGGAUUGCGGGGCUCCUGCCGGGAGAGCAGGGCUGCGGAGUCCCUGGGCUCCAGCCGGGGGAGAGGGACGGCGGGGUUGCGUGGCUCCGGCCGGGAGAGCCGGGCCAAAAGGCAAAAGCUGACAUUAACAUUGUUUCAGUCUCUGUGUUACUUGACAUUGUGUAUUCAGUGUUACCAUAGAAGGGAAGGGCUCUGCAUAGACGGAAAUUUGCCUGGGCAUUGGUAGAAAAUGUUCAGUAAAAUUUUGCUUUAAAAAUUAAA
Gopherus flavomarginatus (Mexican gopher tortoise) is the source of this 934-nucleotide long non-coding RNA. RefSeq lists it as uncharacterized. The transcript is spliced from 2 exons. NCBI's taxonomy places the organism in Eukaryota, Metazoa, Chordata, Testudines, Testudinidae. The record is from RefSeq and is a predicted model, not a curated record.